Molecule: non-coding RNA, 738 nt
Organism: Chrysemys picta bellii (western painted turtle)
Lineage: Eukaryota; Metazoa; Chordata; Testudines; Emydidae
Source: RefSeq, a predicted model, not a curated record
AGUCCAAUACAGCAAACAGCUAGUUGGGAUGAAGGGAUCUCAUUUGCCAUAAGUUCUCUCCAGAGGCACCUUCAUGGAGCCCCUAGUGUGCAGCUUUAUUAAUUAUUAUUAUUUAUUAUUUGAGUGAGCGAGGUAUAGGGUUUGCCACCCCAGUCCAAAGGUCUGAUCUUCUUCCAGCCAGUCUCUGCUCUUGGCAUUUCAUGACAAUUUUUUCCUUUAACAUAAAUCUUUUCUUUUAUCAGGGACUCUCUAACAAAAGCCCCACUAUAUGGACUUAUCUAUGGAAUAGCCAAAUGUGCAAGCUACUUUCUCAGUGCAGCAAUCUUCAGAUUCGGGGCAUGGCUCAUUGCUAAUUGUUAUACAAACCUUGAAAAUAUAUUUAUAGCCUUUUUUUCAGUUCUAUAUGGUGUUAUAAGUGUUGGGCUGUCCACUUCUUUGGCACCAGAUUUUGGCAAAGCUAAAGUUUCUGCCCAACGAAUCUUUCAGCUUUUGGAUCGGAAACCCUUAGUUGACAGCUAUAGUGAAGAGGGUACAAAACUGAGUCACUUUGAUGGCAACAUUGAAUUCAGGGACAUCCAUUUUGUAUACCCUACAAGACCAGAAGCUCAAGUUUUGCAAGGACUCAGCGUGAAGGUUAAUAAAGGACAGACGCUAGCCUUGGUGGGGAGCAGUGGUUGUGGCAAAAGCACAUCCAUUCAGCUGCUGGAGAGAUUUUAUGACCCUAUGGCCGGACAAGUG